Triticum aestivum (bread wheat) is the source of this 3664-nucleotide RNA transcript. RefSeq lists it as uncharacterized. NCBI's taxonomy places the organism in Eukaryota, Viridiplantae, Streptophyta, Magnoliopsida, Poales, Poaceae. The transcript has 2 exons. The record is from RefSeq and is a predicted model, not a curated record.
CGCCGAAUUUGGCAGUCUGCUAUGCCGCUUAGGAUUUCUUUCUUGUCUGUUGUUGAAAUUCCGCUGGCUGGAGAGAGGCUGCUUGCUUUCAAGGCUUGUCUCGAUGCUACUGCUUGCUAAAUUCUGAGGGUGAUUAGUGAUCUCGGCAGGGGAAAAUUGAUGUUCUGUUUAGCCCAGUUCAGCUUAAGGAGGAGUGCAUAUAUAGGAGGUCUUCAGUGCUUUGUCUUAUAGCACCAUUCAUGUGAGGAAGCAUAAUCUAGUCUGUAUCAUGAAAGGUUAAUUUUGCUGCCGCUGGUUGGAUUUUGGGGCCUGCAACAGUUUACAUCUAGACAUUUUUCUCCAUUUUUGCAUUUUAUUUUUGCACCAUCUCUGUUUGCCUGUAUAUAUACCUGGAUGUGCUAAUAAUCAGUUUGACUGUAUCAUUUCAGCUAGUUAAAAUUUUCUCGGUUCAUCUAGUUAAAUUGUCCUAGUUCCAAUAUAUUUACUGUGCCAAGAAAAGUCAAAAUAUUAGUUAAUCAUGCUUCCAUUUCCUCCAAACAAAAAAUGACUCUGAAGAUUAUGUCUUUCCCCUUGCAUAACAACACAUGGAAUUACUUCUACAAACCCAGCUAGUGUGAGCGACAAAAUGGAAAUCACAGUACAUAAGGAAAAGAAUUAUGCACCGUGUAUCAACACCCAAGCAACUCACAUUUGUUAAAGAUGGACUUCUGUCGCAUAAACAACAAUAACAUGCAUUCAGGAUGUUGUCCAUCGUCAUUGAAUGAUUAAAUCACACACACACAUAUGCUAGUAGGUAGCGCUCUUAAAAAGUGAGUUUAUUCCUACAUAUAUGUACUAGUGACACUACUCUUGAAUAAAAUUUCUCCUUUUGCAAAAAGUAGUUUGUGCAAAAAGAAGCAAAUGUCAUGUUUACCUGGUCUGCAGAAAUGAUGCUUGCUAGGAGUUUGUUCUAAUGCCUAUGUGAAUAGAACACUUUUAUUUCUUGUUUUCUUUAUACUGAGAAGAAACCUUGUGAAGGUUUAGGGAAACAGAAGGGCUCACCAACAAAAGCCACUAAAAAAGUUUAGAAUAAUAUUGGGGAGGAUCAAGUGCAAGAAUACAAAAAGUUUAGAGUUGAGAAAGCGGAAAAGUUCAUAGGCCUCUCAUGUUCAAAAACACGUGCCGCUGGCCACUAGAGAUGUGCCGCCGCCAUUGCCCAUCCAAAACCAUAGUGCAUAUUGAGUUUCUUUGUCAAAAGCUUGCAUCGAUGGCUAACUCCAUACUAUUAUUUUACCUACUAUUAUGCUAAUGUUGUACUGGUGCUCUUGCUUAUUAAGGCAUGCAUCAAUAGUCGAUCUUGAACUGGAUGUGCUAUUCUAUGUUCGGUGACUGGAGCGUUUCUUUAAUGGAUGUGUUCUUUGGCUGAGGAAGUCAAUGUUAUGGUUUUUCAUACUUUCAACAAAAAAUAUCUAUAAGUUCAAAAUGUAUAACCCUAUAAGUUCAUUGAAAAAUAGAAACAAAAAAUAGUGCAUGAGCAAGUAGCCGCCCCGCAUUGGACGUCAACGUUAUGUUGUUUUCAUACUUUCAGUUCACAUUGUAGCUUUUUCAGUUCAAUGGAUUCCAAAAAGGAAACAAUUGUGGAUGGGUGAUGAAUCAACUUCCUGUACUAUUAUGCCAUGAGCAUUGGACAACCCCGACCACCGGCACCACUGCUUCCCGACCUCCUGCUUGCAUCGCCAUCUCCUGGUGGGGCUCUGCCGCCGGAGCACCCUGGCCGUUCACAGCCACCACUCCAGGCCAUUCAACGCCACCACCCUAGGUCGUUCAUUGCCAGCAGCACCCUGGAUCCCACCCCUCACCCUAGGAGUUUCAGUUAUCGAGUGAGCUUUUCAGUCCAACUUGAGCUUUCAGUCCAUGUGUCGCUUGUUGUUGUGGCCGGUCUCUAGGUACAUAGAGAUGUUCCUAUUCAUGCAUGUAGUGCUGCUCCGUUAAAUCACUUGUUCAUCUUUUUUGUUACAACCACGCUGGAUGCCUAGUAAUAGUAGCUUGCACUAGCCUAUACAUGAGUAUCUCAAGCCAUUGUUAAUAGAUGUGAGUAGUACUGAUUGUUUUGAUUGAGUUGGCGUCUUUCACACCAAGUUUAGGUUCCAGAUUGCCAAAAGUUCGAAGAUAGUGAGAUGGAUGGGAAACUACCAGACAGAGAUGAUAUUGGACAAAGCAAAAUUAGUAAAAGAAAGAAAAUGCUAGAAGUUCAACUAGGGUAACUUAAAAAGUUCAUGAAAAAUAAAUAUAGAAGUUCAGAGAAGAGGGUCGGAAAAGAUUUGGGAAAAGACACACACCAAAAAACAUGGGAAAAGGUCAGUUCAAAAAAACUUGCCAUAAGUAGUUAAGAGUUUAUUUGGAGUGGUUAGCAAUUCGGUAACUAGAAAAAGGACACAUCAGUUCAAUUCUACUUGGCAGAAGUAGUCAAGAGCUUAUUUGUUGUUGUUAAAAAAAUCAAGCUAAUUUUCUGUAGUUCUCAGGUUAGAAAAGGUCUCAUUUCACUUUGCUAAAGUCCAUCUAGAAUCUUGGAAUCCUAUGUGGUCUCUGGCAAGGUAUGCACAGAAUGAUAUCUAACUCGAUGAGUGUAAUGUGUUUUCUCACUUCCAGGCCUGGGGAUGUUUUUUCAUUUGACAUACUUCAAGUAUUUUGUGGGGUACAUCCAACGACAAUGAGCAGGCGACAAGUGUAUUGAUGAGCAGCGGGACGGUGGCAUGGAUCAGUUGAGUAGGUGUGCGUAGUUCAAGUUCACCAGUAUUUGUAAAUGCUGGUAGCAAUACUAGUAUUUACAAAUUUGUAACCUAAGAACUAAGCUUGCAUAUCGUUACUUCUAUGGAAGCACUGACCUAGUAAUAUUAUUGGACCAACCACUAACUUGAGAAUUAGACAUGGUGCUCAGUGUAUUCUCUCAAUCUUGGUUGUUCUUGCAGUGCUUAUAAGCUUGAAAUCUUUGAUGAAUCCAGCCCGAACUAAAGCAUGUCGGUGAGUCAGGUGCUGGGCCAACCACUGUCGUUUGUCUACCUCCUUCCCGGUGAGCCCAUGCUCUUCUGCUCUUGACGCUUGAGCUGCCUGCAAUUCUUUUCUCUGUUCAAAAAUUCCCAAAGCAUCAGCAAUUCUUUUCUCUGUUCAAAAAUUCCCAAAGCAUCAGUACUUUGUAUCUGGAUACACCAUGUUUCUGCAAAUUUCCAUUAUGCUUGUAUGUACAAAAUGUGUGCAUUUACUACUUUUGAUUUGUUGUAGUGCAGAGAAGUUACCUUAUUGCGGGCUGACCUGGAGGUGGCUCCUCCAUGUCGACACAAUUAUAGGACCAACGUGCUACUGACCACGCAAGCUUCCUCAAGGAGCUCGUGCCCAACGAUACUAAAAGGAAAAACUGCUCCAGUUUUGAACUACUUAUUCAGUCAUGCUAUUACUGAGUGAAAAUUGAGCGAAAGUGUAUUGCAAUUGAUCUCUCUUAGACCCUGUCAAUCCUCUAUCUAUCCUUUCUUUGCUUUUUUGGUCUGUAAUUCAAGAACUUUGACCUUCAUAAUUCGGUUUUUGGUUAAUUUGUUCUGCCCAAUACAAGCCAUUAAAUCUGAAGAGGCUUCUAAUAGCAAGAAAAUGUGCAAUCGGUGUGGUGUAUAUGUCAUUCAUGUAUGAAAAUUUG